Long non-coding RNA from Mugil cephalus (flathead mullet), 565 nucleotides. RefSeq lists it as uncharacterized. The transcript has 3 exons. NCBI's taxonomy places the organism in Eukaryota, Metazoa, Chordata, Actinopteri, Mugiliformes, Mugilidae. The record is from RefSeq and is a predicted model, not a curated record.
GUCGGUGUGCUUUGCUAAGUGCAACUGAAUAACAUAAGUGACAGCAGAGCUCUGGUCAUAUGACACUGAGGAACCGGAUGUUGGAAGGAGAGGGAGGCACUGUGUGCGCAUGAGCAAACUACCAUUAUGUUCUGCACAUGGAAAGACCCUGUCGUUGAAAGAGGUCAGUGGAUAUUGACUGGAGCUGACUGGAGCCGACACUAUUGUCCUUUAUAAUUACGGUGACCAGAACAGCUUGGGAUGUACAACACAAGGUCUUGGAGAAGUGCUGUUGUUCUGUUGCUGGGACCAGUAAAAUUCACCAGCAGCGCUCUGGACACACCCAGCACCAUCAGCAAUCCUGACUCUACAGCGGGAGUAGUCCUCAGCUCGGUCCCAGUAAGUGGGGAUGCACCAAUAGCCCUACUGUGUUAAGGGGCUGGGAUGUGAUUUCAAAAGUGUAACCCACAAUGAAGUCAAAGAAAGUUCACGUUUGAAGAAAAAAAAAAUGUAUCUUGACUCCGCUUACUAACUUUCACCCACUUCUCACAAUCUUCAUUAGCGGAUGGAUGGUGCUGAAAAACUC